This is a microRNA precursor of Pelodiscus sinensis (Chinese soft-shelled turtle), 86 nucleotides long. NCBI's taxonomy places the organism in Eukaryota, Metazoa, Chordata, Testudines, Trionychidae. The record is from Ensembl.
AUGUGUGUGUGUGUGUGUGUGUGUGUGUGUGUGUGUGUGUGUAUAUAUAUAUAUACACACACACACUUGUUAAGUACCCAACCUAU